RNAcentral lists this ribosomal RNA (497 nucleotides) under uncultured bacterium. RNAcentral describes it as "partial 16S ribosomal RNA". It matches the Rfam family "Bacterial small subunit ribosomal RNA", at positions 28 to 507 of the family's 1533-position model. The record is from RNAcentral.
GAUGAACGCUGGCGGCGUGCCUAAUACAUGCAAGUCGAGCGAACAGACGAGGAGCUUGCUCCUCUGACGUUAGCGGCGGACGGGUGAGUAACACGUGGAUAACCUACCUAUAAGACUGGGAUAACUUCGGGAAACCGGAGAUAAUACCGGAUCAUAUAUUGAACCGCAUGGUUCAAUAGUGAAAGACGGUUUUGCUGUCACUUAUAGAUGGAUCCGCGCCGCAUUAGCUAGUUGGUAAGGUAACGGCUUACCAAGGCGACGAUGCGUAGCCGACCUGAGAGGGUGAUCGGCCACACUGGAACUGAGACACGGUCCAGACUCCUACGGGAGGCAGCAGUAGGGAAUCUUCCGCAAUGGGCGAAAGCCUGACGGAGCAACGCCGCGUGAGUGAUGAAGGUCUUCGGAUCGUAAAACUCUGUUAUUAGGGAAGAACAAAUGUGUAAGUAACUAUGCACGUCUUGACGGUACCUAAUCAGAAAGCCACGGCUAACUACGUG